This 522-nucleotide ribosomal RNA is filed under the name uncultured bacterium. Its description in RNAcentral is "partial 16S ribosomal RNA". It matches the Rfam family "Bacterial small subunit ribosomal RNA", at positions 28 to 523 of the family's 1533-position model. The record is from RNAcentral.
GACGAACGCUGGCGGCGUGCCUAAUACAUGCAAGUCGAACGCAAAACUUUCACCGAAUGCUUGCAUUCACGAAAGUUUUGAGUGGCGAACGGGUGAGUAACACGUGGGUAACCUGCCCAGAAGAGGGGGAUAACACUUGGAAACAGGUGCUAAUACCGCAUAAUAACAAAAACCGCAUGGUUUUUGUUUGAAAGAUGGUUUUGCUAUCACUUCUGGAUGGACCCGCGGCGUAUUAGCCAGUUGGAAAGGUAAAGGCUUACCAAGGCAAUGAUACGUAGCCGAACUGAGAGGUUGAUCGGCCACAUUGGGACUGAGGCACGGCCCAAACUCCUACGGGAGGCAGCAGUAGGGAAUCUUCCACAAUGGACGAAAGUCUGAUGGAGCAACGCCGCGCGAGUGAAGAAGGUUUUCGGAUCGUAAAACUCUGUUGUUAGAGAAGAACGUGUGUGAGAGUAACUGCUCAUGCAGUGACGGUAUCUAACCAGAAAGCCACGGCUAACUACGUGCCAGCAGCCGCAGUAA